This 273-nucleotide ribosomal RNA is filed under the name Triticum aestivum (bread wheat). RNAcentral describes it as "partial small subunit ribosomal RNA". Lineage: Eukaryota; Viridiplantae; Streptophyta; Magnoliopsida; Poales; Poaceae. The record is from RNAcentral.
AUGGCGAAACUCAUGUGCUUAUGUUUCAUCAUCCUCACUAUUGGGGUAGCCGUGUCGGCUGACGAAUGCGAGGCAAAUCCGAAGCUAGAUCCAUCGGAUGCAUGUUGCGCUGUGUGGCAAAAGGCAAACAUCCCAUGCCUUUGCGCUGGUGUCACCAAGGAGAAAGAGAAGAUAUAUUGUAUGGAGAAGGUUGGCUACGUUGCCAAUUUCUGCAAGAAGCCGUUCCCACAUGGCUACAAGUGCGGAAGUUACACAUUCCCUCCUCUGGAGUAG